ACGGGUGAGUAACACGUAGGUAACCUGCCCAUAAGACUGGGAUAACCCACGGAAACGUGAGCUAAUACCAGAUAGGCAUUUUCCUCGCAUGAGGGAGAUGAGAAAGGCGGAGCAAUCUGCCACUUAUGGAUGGACCUGCGGCGCAUUAGCUAGUUGGUAAGGUAACGGCUUACCAAGGCGACGAUGCGUAGCCGACCUGAGAGGGUGAUCGGCCACACUGGGACUGAGACACGGCCCAGACUCCUACGGGAGGCAGCAGUAGGGAAUCUUCCGCAAUGGACGAAAGUCUGACGGAGCAACGCCGCGUGAGUGAUGAAGGUUUUCGGAUCGUAAAGCUCUGUUGCCAGGGAAGAACGCCUAGGAGAGUAACUGCUCUUAGGGUGACGGUACCUGAGAAGAAAGCCCCGGCUAACUACGUGCCAGCAGCCGCGGUAAUACGUAGGGGGCGAGCGUUGUCCGGAAUUAUUGGGCGUAAAGCGCGCGCAGGCGGCAAUGUAAGUUGGUUUUUUAAACCUAGGGCUCAACCUUGGGUCGCAUCCAAAACUGCAUAGCUUGAGUACAGAAGAGGAAAGUGGAAUU
RNAcentral lists this ribosomal RNA (579 nucleotides) under Paenibacillus sp. StRD440. RNAcentral describes it as "bacterial SSU rRNA". It matches the Rfam family "Bacterial small subunit ribosomal RNA", at positions 102 to 668 of the family's 1533-position model. Lineage: Bacteria; Bacillati; Bacillota; Bacilli; Caryophanales; Paenibacillaceae. The record is from RNAcentral.